AAGGAUAUUACGGAAUGACCWUUAGGUCAUGGAAUUARCGUGGACAUAUUGUAUUCAGUUUUGAAUGUUUAUUUAACAUUCAUCAUUGCACAUUGAAAACUAGAUAAGUAAGCAAAUAGAUUUUACCAAGCAAAAAACCGAGUGAAUUUCUAACGAAAUUCAACAAGCUUAAUAAUCGCGCGUCGUCUUUUUAGACGACAUCACAGAUUAAUAACAGUUAUUUUCUUAAACAUUUAUGUAUAAGGAAAUAUUA
RNAcentral lists this unclassified non-coding RNA (253 nucleotides) under Mammaliicoccus vitulinus. Its description in RNAcentral is "Staphylococcus vitulinus 16S-23S ribosomal RNA intergenic spacer". The record is from RNAcentral. Lineage: Bacteria; Bacillati; Bacillota; Bacilli; Caryophanales; Staphylococcaceae.